CCUACGGGAGGCAGCAGUAGGGGAAUCUUGCGCAAUGGGCGAAAGCCUGACGCAGCCAUGCCGCGUGAAUGAUGAAGGUCUUAGGAUUGUAAAAUUCUUUUCACCGGGGAAGAUAAUGACGGUACCCGGAGAAGAAGCCCCGGCUAACUUCGUGCCAGCAGCCGCGGUAAUACGAAGGGGGCUAGCGUUGCUCGGAAUUACUGGGCGUAAAGGGCGCGUAGGCGGAUAGUUUAGUCAGAGGUGAAAGCCCAGGGCUCAACCUUGGAACUGCCUUUGAUACUGGCUAUCUUGAGUUCGGGAGAGGUGAGUGGAAUGCCGAGUGUAGAGGUGAAAUUCGUAGAUAUUCGGCGGAACACCAGUGGCGAAGGCGACUCACUGGCCCGAUACUGACGCUGAGGCGCGAAAGCGUGGGGAGCAAACAGGAUUAGAUACCCUGGUAGUCCACGCUGUAAACGAUGAGUGCUAGUUGUCGGCGAUGCAUGCAUGUCGGUGGACGCGAGCUACG
Molecule: ribosomal RNA, 505 nt
Filed under: uncultured bacterium
Lineage: Bacteria
Description: bacterial SSU rRNA
Rfam family: Bacterial small subunit ribosomal RNA
Source: RNAcentral